Long non-coding RNA from Zingiber officinale, 326 nucleotides. RefSeq lists it as uncharacterized. The transcript has 3 exons. NCBI's taxonomy places the organism in Eukaryota, Viridiplantae, Streptophyta, Magnoliopsida, Zingiberales, Zingiberaceae. The record is from RefSeq and is a predicted model, not a curated record.
AGGUGGUUCAUUUUCGAUUAUUAGAGAAGCCAACAGAAGAACAUUUUAGCAUAGAGUUGUCAAAGCUUGAUUCAUAUGAUACUGUUGUAGAAAAAGUAGCAUACCAACUUGGUCUGGAUGAUCCAUCAAAAAUCCGACUUACACUGCAUAACUGCUACUCUCAGCAACCUAAACCUCAACCCAUCAAAUUUAGAGGGGUGGAUCAUCUAUCUGACAUGCUUGUCCAUUUGUCCCUGAGUUCUGAUAUACUGUACUAUGAAGUACUCAACAUACCAUUACCUGAACUGCAAGGUUUAAAAACUCUGAAAGUUGCAUUUCAUCAUGCC